AUGUCUCUUAAGGUGAAUCCAGCCCCACCAGUGCCUGGAGCCAUAAGCACUCAGUAUUUAUAUUUGGAAAGGUCUCCGGCAUCAYCUGGAAAAAGCCCAGUCCAGAGAGCAUCAACCCAGCAUGCACUGGAAAAAGACGCCAUCCCACGUUACCUGCUGAUGUGUUUGCUCCCGUCCCGAGGCACACGCAAGAAAUUCAAGGUCCUUGAUCGCCCUGGGAAGAGAAGGUGUUUGCUUUACACAAGCCUCAGGCUCAGCUCCCCAUCCCGGUGCAAGAGGAGCCACACAGACUCAUGSGAUGAGCUACGCUUCAGAAGACCCACCUGAAUCUUCUUCUUACAGACUGGGAAUGGCUGGGAAAUCUUGGACACGCAGGCCCUGAGUGGAGUUCAGCAAAACCAUGGAGAGGAUUGCGUAAGGCUUGAAUGCAAAAAAGGAAGAUUUUUUUUUUUUAAAUCWCUGCUUGAAGAUAUGGCAAGAAGAGCAUGUAAAAGCCAGUAGUGAGGGAGAAGCCUGGAAAAUCCCAAGCAAGGCUCUACUCGUGGCUGGAGGCCAGAAGAUUGUCCAAYGUAAAAGCUGGCCAAUGCUGAAUCUCAAGACGUUCCUCAGGGAUGGGGAGUCAUGGACAGAUGUGCACUCUGGGAUCCAGCUGUGCCACUGGACAUGCUCCCCUCUCCGGCUGCYCCUCCCCACCCACCAGCAGCUCCAGCAACAUCCGCCAGCUUAGUGCAAAGCAGCAGCAUCCCUCACGUGGACGCGGCUGAUUUUGGUUAGAGAUCGCUCACAUGAUACCGUCCAUUGACAGAGCUGUGCAGGCCGUCGUUUCCAGGCGAGAACAACAAUGAAUAGCCGGGGCGUGGUGACAUUUUUAGCUGGCACAGCUGUUUGUGGGGCGAACAUCUGUCCACGGCUGCAGAGGAGAGGGAGGUCACCGAGCGGGAACGCUUGGAGGCAGUUAAGGAUUGCAGGGAGGAGGUCAGUGAGCCACGCAGCAAAACUAGCUGGACCUCAUCAAAAGACGUAAGAAGGGCUUUUACACCAGAAAAUGUAGCAGGGAAGUGAGUGAAGAGGGAAAUGAAACUAUUGACGAGCCGAAAAGGCCGAUACCCUGAGCCCUCUUUAAAAUGCUGUCCUCAGAGAGUGCAGAGGGAAAGGAAGGGAGAUGCUCUGCAAGUAGCUAUUGAUAAAGAGAAAGAAGAGGUUCUUGGAAAAUCUUAAAUUUAAUAAAUCAGUCUGGGCAGGUUGCA
RNAcentral lists this long non-coding RNA (1247 nucleotides) under Apteryx owenii (little spotted kiwi). Its description in RNAcentral is "lncRNA (ENSAOWG00000003478.1)". Lineage: Eukaryota; Metazoa; Chordata; Aves; Apterygiformes; Apterygidae. The record is from RNAcentral.